Long non-coding RNA from Pyrgilauda ruficollis (rufous-necked snowfinch), 1033 nucleotides. RefSeq lists it as uncharacterized. NCBI's taxonomy places the organism in Eukaryota, Metazoa, Chordata, Aves, Passeriformes, Passeridae. The transcript has 3 exons. The record is from RefSeq and is a predicted model, not a curated record.
GUGCCACCUCAGGUGUGUCACCUGCUCUGGGGGAGGUGACCGAGGUCACGGGAUGCCACCAGGUGCCACCAGCACCUCGGUGCCACCUCCUGUCCUGUGCCCAGGUGUGCCCAGGUGUGCCCAGGUGUGCCCAGGUGUGACCCCGGCCUGGGGGAGGUGACAGAGGCCACCACAGGUGCCACCAGGUGUCACCAACUCACGGAGGAACAAACGACACCACCUCCUGUCCUGUGCUGGCGCUGUGCCCAGGUGCCACCAGGUGUGCCCAGGUGUGCCCAGGUGCCACCAGGUGUGCCCAGGUGCCACCUCAGAUGUGCCACAGCUGGUCCCUGGGCAGGGGAGGUGACAAGUGCCACCAGGUGCCACCAACACAUGGAGAAAAAAGUAACACCACCACCUGUCCUGUCCCCUUGCUGUCUGCAGGUGUGCCCAGGUGCCACCAGGUGUGCCCAGGUGUCACCCAGGUGCCACCAGGUGUGACCCCAGUCUGGGAGAGGUGACAGGUGCCACCACAGGUGCCACCAACACACAGAGAAAAAAGUGAUACCACCACCUGUCCUGUCCUGGCACUGUCCACAGGUGUGUCCAGGUGUGUCCAGGUGUGCCCAGGUGCCGCCUCAGAUGUGCCACAGCUGGUCCCUGGGCAGGGCAGGUGACAGGUGCCACCACAGGUGCCACCAACACACAGAGAAAAAAGUGAUACCACCACCUGUCCUGUCCUGGCACUGUCCACAGGUGUGUCCAGGUGUGUCCAGGUGUGCCCAGGUGUGCCCAGGUGUCACCCAGUAGCCACCAGGUGCCACCAACACAUACAGAAACAAGUGACACCACCACCUGUCCUGUCCCGUUGCUGUCCCCAGGUGUGUCCAGGUGUGCCCAGGUGUGCCCAGCUGUGCCGGGCUCAGACGAACACCUUGGCCAGGGCGUCGGCGCCGGCGCUGGCGCUGAGGGCGCGCCGGGGGUGGAAGGCCACGGCCAGCACGGCCUCGGAGUGCUUGCGGCGGUGAGCGGGCAGCUCCUGCACACAGGUGCG